RNAcentral lists this ribosomal RNA (451 nucleotides) under uncultured bacterium. RNAcentral's name for it is "partial 16S ribosomal RNA". It matches the Rfam family "Bacterial small subunit ribosomal RNA", at positions 354 to 796 of the family's 1533-position model. The record is from RNAcentral.
GUGGGGAAUAUUGGACAAUGGGGGGAACCCUGAUCCAGCCAUGCCGCGUGUGUGAAGAAGGCCUUUUGGAUGUAAAGCACUUUAAGCGAGGAGGAGGCUACCGAGAUUAAUACUCUUGGAUAGUGGACGUUACUCGCAGAAUAAGCACCGGCUAACUCUGUGCCAGCAGCCGCGGUAAUACAGAGGGUGCAAGCGUUAAUCGGAUUUACUGGGCGUAAAGCGCGCGUAGGUGGCCAAUUAAGUCAAAUGUGAAAUCCCCGAGCUUAACUUGAGAAUUGCAUUCGAUACUGGUUGGCUAGAGUAUGGGAGAGGAUGGUAGAAUUCCAGGUGUAGCGGUGAAAUGCGUAGAGAUCUGGAGGAAUACCGAUGGCGAAGGCAGCCAUCUGGCCUAAUACUGACACUGAGGUGCGAAAGCAUGGGGAGCAAACAGGAUUAGAAACCCUUGUAGUCC